UCCGAAGGGGGCUAUCGUUGUUCGGAAUUACUGGGCGUAAAGCGCACGUAGGCGGAUUAGUAAGUCAGGGGUGAAAUCCCGGGGCUCAACCUCGGAACUGCCUUUGAUACUGCUGGUCUCGAGUGCGGAAGAGGUGGGUGGAAUUCCUAGUGUAGAGGUGAAAUUCGUAGAUAUUAGGAAGAACACCAGUGGCGAAGGCGGGUCACUGGUCCGGUACUGACGCUGAGGUACGAAAGCGUGGGGAGAAAACAGG
RNAcentral lists this ribosomal RNA (253 nucleotides) under uncultured bacterium. RNAcentral describes it as "partial 16S ribosomal RNA". It matches the Rfam family "Bacterial small subunit ribosomal RNA", at positions 524 to 776 of the family's 1533-position model. The record is from RNAcentral.